GCCAAUGGGCGCAAGCCUGAUGCAGCCAUGCCGCGUGUGUGAAGAAGGCCUUAGGGUUGUAAAGCACUUUCAGCGAGGAGGAAGGCAUCAUACUUAAUACGUGUGGUGAUUGACGUUACUCGCAGAAGAAGCACCGGCUAACUCCGUGCCAGCAGCCGCGGUAAUAA
RNAcentral lists this ribosomal RNA (167 nucleotides) under uncultured bacterium. Its description in RNAcentral is "partial 16S ribosomal RNA". It matches the Rfam family "Bacterial small subunit ribosomal RNA", at positions 366 to 526 of the family's 1533-position model. The record is from RNAcentral.